UGUAUUUCAUGCAGUUUCAAACAGAACGUGCUUUUCUAUAUUAACCGUGCUCUAUGUCCCUCUUCAUUUCACUUCAACAGCUCCACAGAUCAAUCCUACAAAUGUCUACUCAGAAGCAAGUCUCACUGAGUUCAAUAGGUGAAGGACUGCAGCCUCAAAGUCAAAAUCAGAGAAAUAGGAACCUUUAGAUCAGGCCUGCAAGGGCCGCUGGAGUGGAAGGAGGGGCAUGUUUAAUUGGAACUGCAGAACAGGACCCAUCUGGCAAUGACUGGAUUUCUGGAUUCAUUUUCCCCCCAACGGCAUAAUAACAUGAAUCCAGAGAGGCUAAAACUCUCCAUCCAUCUGUUGCCUGGUCUGCUUUCUCUCAGUCCAUGGAUAUACAGGCAAAGAAGAGCUGUAGCUCAGCUCUGAAGUUUUCAGUUUGUUCUUUACCCUUGAUCCAUACUGAGCGUGUUUCAAGACAGGCAGCGUGCUUGAUAGAACAAUUUCAACUCUCUCUGUUUUUUCACAGCUUCAGACAGCAAAAUAAAAGGCUGCUCAUGCAGAGGCACAUUGAGCUUGCUGAAAGUUGUUGCAGACAAAAUAGGGGGGGGGUGGAGUUUGGUUCGCCAAAAAUAUAAACAAAACUAACUCCCUCCCCCCCAGCCUCGAUUAUUUUAUCUCAUUAGCUUUAUCUUCUUGUGUGGGCGAAUUAGCCUUUUUUUUUGGAGACAUGUAGUACUAAACUCAACAAGAAUAAGAGGAAGAAGAAACCUCAUUCAUGUUUGCUCUUAUCAGUAGGAAACUUUUAAUUGCUUUUCUCCGUUUAGGCAGAAUAUAGUAGGGAAUAGUCAUGAAAAUGAAUCGGAAUGCUCCAUAGGGGUCUACCCUAAUUUGACUCAAAUUACUAUCAGAAGAAACAAGGCAUUAUUUGCUCUGCGUUGCCGAAAUAAUUGAUUUAGCAAAAAUAAAACAAACCGUGGGGGUGCA
This 969-nucleotide long non-coding RNA is filed under the name Pogona vitticeps (central bearded dragon). RNAcentral describes it as "lncRNA (ENSPVIG00000009534.1)". Lineage: Eukaryota; Metazoa; Chordata; Lepidosauria; Squamata; Agamidae. The record is from RNAcentral.